UCACUGUUAGUAGACUGGUGUGA
RNAcentral lists this non-coding RNA (23 nucleotides) under Arabidopsis thaliana (thale cress). The record is from RNAcentral. Lineage: Eukaryota; Viridiplantae; Streptophyta; Magnoliopsida; Brassicales; Brassicaceae.